UCCACGAAAGGGCUCCAAAAACCCAAUCUCAAUCCUCUUCAUCUCCACCUCUUCCGACUGGCCACACUUCUCAUCGACAACUCGUCCUAGCUUCCCCCAAAUGCCUCUUUUCAUUUUUAUCACAUUUUGUUUUUACGUUCACGCCCCCCACCCUCCAUUCGUGCAUCUUGAGUUUUGGGAGAUCGGCUUGCGGAAGACGCACUGUUUGAACGGUGUUUAAUUGGCAAGUGCUUGAACGAGCUCGCAGUCGCUUUCACUUCUUGAGAUAUCUUGACGUAGAGGAGAUUGUGGCCGCGACUACUAUUCCGAUAACUUAUUGAUUGAGAACCCGUCAUACCACCCGCUUCCAGUGAUAGAGAUGCCAUCUCUUGUCUUGGAUUAUUUGAUCCAGCCACCGCCUCAAUCCCAUUUCUGAUGAUAGGAGGGAUGAUCCUUUGGGUCUCCUAUCAAAUUAAUGGACCUACGAGAGGGUUGGUUUAUGAAGUUACUGUUGAUUAUUCGUAACUAUGUUUCCUAUGCAAUGGUUCAUCAUGAAGUGCUAAGAAUUCAAGAAAACAAAGUGGAGUCGUUGACUUGGGAGGAUUGGGAAGUUUUUAAAGGAUUACCAGUUUCAACUUGAAGUGGCUAGUAAUGAAUGAAUGUUUCAUCGAUACUUUUUGUGCAAAGAAAGUUGAUUUGACUCUCAAGAUAAAACAUGAAAAGUUGAUACAGUACGCACUUGCCUUCGUAGUUUUUGCUUGAUAAUUGAGAAACAACUUCAAUUGCUGUAGAAGUUAGGUUGAACUCAACCAAACGUGCCAUUUGUAGUUUCCAAGGUUGCGAGUCGUUUUUUUAAGUAAGAUUAAUUGUUAUGACUGAAAAUUUGGUUUCGAGCUAGUUCUUCCUGCUCCACUGUUGCCAAAUGUGGGGAUGAUGAAGAGAAUCAAGUGGUUCCAAUGUCGCCACCACCUCCAGUUUCGAGCUAGUUCUUCCUGCUCUCCAUUGUUUCUUCUUCUUUGAAUGAUUUUAACUAGAUCUUAAGAAAUCUGAGGUUUUGCCCGAAUCCAUUGGAGCAGCGAAACCAUAUUUGUGGCAAUUCAUUGAUGUAUAGGCAUUUUUGUAGGUUUGGUAGGAAAAUUUCCGGUUUAAAUGUACUUAUUUAAAUAGCUAGCUUGUUCGUAACAAACCAUAUAUGUAUCAACACUUAAAGUGAUAUUAUAAAGUGUAUGUUUCUUUA
Long non-coding RNA from Cucumis melo (muskmelon), 1216 nucleotides. RefSeq lists it as uncharacterized. Lineage: Eukaryota; Viridiplantae; Streptophyta; Magnoliopsida; Cucurbitales; Cucurbitaceae. The record is from RefSeq and is a predicted model, not a curated record. The transcript is spliced from 9 exons.